This 253-nucleotide ribosomal RNA is filed under the name uncultured bacterium. Its description in RNAcentral is "partial 16S ribosomal RNA". It matches the Rfam family "Bacterial small subunit ribosomal RNA", at positions 524 to 776 of the family's 1533-position model. The record is from RNAcentral.
UACAGGGGGGGCAAGCGUUGUUCGGAAUUACUGGGCGUAAAGGGUCUGUAGGUGGCCAACUAAGUCAGACGUGAAAUCCCUCAGCUUAACUGGGGAACUGCGUCUGAUACUGGAUGGCUCGAGUGUGGGAGAGGAAUGCGGAAUUCCAGGUGUAGCGGUGAAAUGCGUAGAUAUCUGGAGGAACACCGGUGGCGAAGGCGGCAUUCUGGACCACAACUGACACUGAGAGACGAAAGCCAGGGGAGCAAACAGG